This 253-nucleotide ribosomal RNA is filed under the name uncultured bacterium. RNAcentral's name for it is "partial small subunit ribosomal RNA". It matches the Rfam family "Bacterial small subunit ribosomal RNA", at positions 26 to 285 of the family's 1533-position model. The record is from RNAcentral.
AGGACGAACGCUGGCGGCGUGCUUAACACAUGCAAGUCGAGCGGAAAGGCCCUUCGGGGUACUCGAGCGGCGAACGGGUGAGUAACACGUGAGCAAUCUGCCCUUAGCUUCGGGAUAGCUCCGGGAAACCGGAAUUAAUACCGGAUAUGACUAUGGCUGGCAUCAGCCACGGUGGAAAGUUUUUCGGCUAGGGAUGAGCUCGCGGCCUAUCAGCUAGUUGGUGGGGUAACGCCUACCAAGGCGACGACGGGUA